RNAcentral lists this long non-coding RNA (2576 nucleotides) under Salmo salar (Atlantic salmon). RNAcentral describes it as "lncRNA (ENSSSAG00000107981.1)". Lineage: Eukaryota; Metazoa; Chordata; Actinopteri; Salmoniformes; Salmonidae. The record is from RNAcentral.
CUCACCUCUCCCCACUCUCUCACCUCUCCCUCCCUCUCUCACCUCUCCCCCCUCUCUCACCUCUCCCCCCUCUCUCACCUCUCCCCCCUCUCUCACCUCUCCCUCCCUCUCUCACCUCUCCCCGCUCUCUCACCUCUCCCCCCUCUCUCACCUCUACCCCGCUCUCUCACCUCUCCCUCCCUCUCUCACCUCUCCCCGCUCUCUCACCUCUCCCCCCUCUCUCACCUCUACCCCGCUCUCUCACCUCUCCCUCCCUCUCUCACCUCUCCCCAGCUCUCUCAAUUCAAUUUAAGGGUUUUUAUUGACACUGGAAACAUAUGUUUUUCAUUGCCAAAGCAAGUGAAAUAGAUAAACAAAAGUGAAAUAAACAAUACAAAUAAAAUGAACAUUAAACAUUACACUCACAAAAGUACCAAAUGAAUAAAUACAAUGUCAAAUGUCUUAUUAUGUCUAUAUACAGUGUUGUAAUGAUGUGCAAAUAGUUAAAGUACACCUCUCCCACUUCCCCUCUUCCCCACUCUCUCAAAGGAAACUAAGGUGUCUUCUCUCCUCUCUCCCACUUCCCCUCUUCCCCACUCUCUCAAAGGAAACUAAGGUGUCUUCUCUCCUCUCUCCCACUUCCCCUCUUCCCCACUCUCUCAAAGGAAACUAAGGUGUCUUCUCUCCUCUCUCACCCUUCCCCUCUUCCCCACUCUCUCAAAGGAAACUAAGGUGUCUUCUCUCCUCUCUCACCCUUCCCCUAUUCCCCACUCUCUCAAAGGAAACUAAGGUGUCUUCUCUCCUCUCUCACCCUUCCCCUAAUAGCUAGCUAAGUCAACCAGUGGACAGGGAGACCUUGUUAACUCAGAUGAUGUUGAUUAGGACGUGUGGUGAGUUCAAGCAGGGCAGGUCAGCAUGGAACUCAAUUCAUCCCAGAUGGAGCCUUCUCCUCCCUGUUUAAGACUUUAUAAGGAACACAUGUCGGCCAAGGUGUGCCUUCUUUAAGGCCUUGAAAUCAGGGCUCGGCCUCGGCCCAUUUGGGAUGGUUAUUGAGAGAGUUGUAAAGUGAAUCAGAUAUUGCAAAGGCAUAAGAAAAGGGAGCUUUUGGGUUUGGCUUGGGCUUGGUUUUUGGGUUAGGUUUUCUCAUGUGAAAUGCGAAUUUGGAAGAAAGACAUCCAUUUAUGACACAAUAACAAAGCUUGGCCCAAUACAGUUUUAUAUUAAAUGUGUAUUUGCUUGUCUUAUUUCAAACAUCCUCAGAGAGGCACAAACCUGUGUAAACUUCAACUUCAUAAUGUUACACACUUACAUGCUAACAUACGACAAUCAUUAUCAGAUGUCAUUUUGGGAUGUCCACUGAUUAACCAAGCAUCUCUUCCUGUGGGAGUUAAUAUGUGGUAAAGCUAAAAGCACAUCCAUGUUUGGAGCUGUUUGGAGCUGUUGUAUGACGUGAGUCCAUUAAACUGUUGCACCUAACAGCAUUCGCUCACUUUAGCUAACUAUGCUAGCCGAUGUUAAGCUGCAUAAUGGAAGACACAGAGUCAAGCCAACUGUGCUGUAGUGUAAAACAUCUCUUCUGUAAUGUACAUUCUUAGGAAAAAAAGAUGCUAUCUAGAACCUAAAAUGGUUCUUCGGCUGUCCCCAUAGGAAAACCCUUUGAGGAACCCUUUUUGGUUCCAGGAAGAACCCCUUUGAGUGCCAUAUACAACCCUUUACAGAGAGGGUUCUACAUGAAACCCCAAAUAGUUCUACCUGGAACAAAAAAGGGUUCUACCUGGAACCAAAAAGGCUUCUCCUAUGAGGACAGCCGAAGAACAAUUUUGGAACCCUUUUUCUAAGAGUGUAGAUGUAUCCAGCACCACACCCAGCAUUAUUGGCAGGGGUGAGCUGUACUGUCAGGCAUUGUACAGUACACUGUGAUGUGUUCCACUUUCCCCUGGCCUGGCCUUCAGUGUGUGUGUGUGUGUGUCAGAGAGACAAAGGCCAAUCAGUGCUUUCCUCUUUCACUUAGAGACAGCGAUGCAUGCCAUGUCCCCCUCUCUCUCAUGUCUCUGUUUUCUGUACAGUGCAUUGUGGAAGACGAAUGACUGCCUUUUAUCUCUCUCUUUUUCUCUCUCUUUCCUUCUCUCUUUCUCUCUCUCUCCCUCUCUCUAGACAUCUCUGUAUUUCCCUCCCUCUUUCUCUCUCUCUUCCUCUUUCAUUCCUCUAUCACCUCUAACCUUCUCCCUUCAUCUCUUUCUAACUCCUUUAACCUCUCUGUGUCACUCCCCCUCUCUCUCUAGGCCUUUCCUCUCCUCACAGCUGUACCUUUCCUCUGUGUGCAAAGCGGAGCCACUCUUCCCAGUGCUGUCGCAGUGAAAGUGGAAAAACAGCUCGAUGACCCUUUAAAAAGACAUCCUGUGGAAUUUCCUCCAAUAGAUUCGGAGUGCCUGGGAAUUUUAGACAGGCACCUGCAGUUGUUUGUGUUUUAUUCUGUAAUAAAAGAGGACCAGUCAAUUUGCUGCACAGUGUCUCCUAAAGGAGUUUGAGGUAGAUAGUGCUGUGAGCUUUUGUUUUACAUUGUUGUUUCUUCAUUGGUUAAUAUUACAAACGCAAUC